This 253-nucleotide ribosomal RNA is filed under the name uncultured bacterium. RNAcentral describes it as "partial 16S ribosomal RNA". It matches the Rfam family "Bacterial small subunit ribosomal RNA", at positions 524 to 776 of the family's 1533-position model. The record is from RNAcentral.
UACGAAGGGGGCUAGCGUUGCUCGGAAUUACUGGGCGUAAAGGGCGCGUAGGCGGCUUGGCAAGUGGAAGGUGAAAUCCCUCGGCUUAACCGAGGAACUGCCCUCCAAACUGCUUCGCUUGAGACCGGGAGAGGUGAGUGGAAUUCCCAGUGUAGCGGUGAAAUGCGUAGAUAUUGGGAGGAACACCAGUGGCGAAGGCGGCUCACUGGACCGGUACUGACGCUGAUGCGCGAAAGCGUGGGGAGCAAACGGG